Molecule: unclassified non-coding RNA, 501 nt
Filed under: Hevea brasiliensis (rubber tree)
Lineage: Eukaryota; Viridiplantae; Streptophyta; Magnoliopsida; Malpighiales; Euphorbiaceae
Source: RNAcentral
GUUUAAUUACAACCGUACAAAAUCAAAAGAUUACAGGGGAUAGAGGCAAAAACCAUUUUUCCAAGAGCAAGCAAAACCCAAUAUCACAUUUGGAUUAGGCUGCCUUUCAUUGGAUUUAUUACUUAUUUGCAGUUACCUCCUCUUGAACCAGAAGACAAGACACAAUAAAAAAAGAUAAUACAAAUACCAAGAGUAGCUUAGUAUGACCAGCACCAGAAGGCAUGAUCUUCAAAACUUGCAGGUGGGUCGGAGUAAUCACCAUCUUCAAGCUUUGGGAAGACAUAUGGGGGCAAUAGGCUCUCGCUUAAAUUAUCUUCUUCAUCCUGGGAUAAGUCUGACUGGUCUGGUUCAAAAACAUAUGAAGAAUCACCAGCCUCUAAGAGUGAAGAGUGAACCCCAUCAGUGUAAUGUGGGCUGUCUGAAUCAAAUAUAUCACUUUUGGCUGAGCUAAUAUCUUCUUGCUUACAGGCCACAAUUGAAACUUUUGAUACUUCACCCUCA